UACAGAGGGUGCGAGCGUUAAUCGGAAUUACUGGGCUUAAAGGGUGCGUAGGCGGCGCGGAAAGUAGGGUGUGAAAUCCCUCGGCUCAACCGAGGAACUGCGCUCUAAACUACCGUGCUCGAGGGAGAUAGAGGUGAGCGGAACUGAGGGUGGAGCGGUGAAAUGCGUUGAUAUCCUCAGGAACACCGGUGGCGAAAGCAGCCCCCUGGGCCAACACUGACGCUCAGGCACGAAAGCGUGGGGAGCAAACAGG
Molecule: ribosomal RNA, 253 nt
Filed under: uncultured bacterium
Lineage: Bacteria
Description: partial 16S ribosomal RNA
Rfam family: Bacterial small subunit ribosomal RNA
Source: RNAcentral